Eleginops maclovinus (Patagonian blennie) is the source of this 5423-nucleotide RNA transcript. It is a transcript of the gene named glutamate receptor, ionotropic, N-methyl D-aspartate 1a, with no coding region annotated. The record is from RefSeq and is a predicted model, not a curated record. Lineage: Eukaryota; Metazoa; Chordata; Actinopteri; Perciformes; Eleginopidae. The transcript is spliced from 22 exons.
GCAUGCACAGCUGUCAGCACCAAGGACAGCAGCCUGCUCAGUUCGGAGCGAGCAGUCAGCGACGCAUCGGGCUGAUCAGUCCGCACACAGCGCACCGAGCAGCGGCUAGAGGGUGCGACUCACGCCCCGGAGGACAAGCCGCGUGGAGGAUGAUUUAACUAUCUAUGAAAAAAAAAGCGAUUCUGCAGAGGAGAGCAACAAUAAAAAAAAAGAUGGACAAUGCGGGUUGGAUGUCCACAGUUGACAGGCUGCUGUUAAUAUGAGCAUGCACAUUCCUCCGCAUUGCACAUAAAUCCAUCUUUUUUUUUUUGUCUUCUCCUUCCUCUUCUGGCCCUCCCCCCCUCCCACCCGUCGCUCUCACCGCCCACCUGGAUCGUGCAUUGAACGGGCUGAGCCGUGCCGCCGUCCAGAAGCUGGUGGAGCCGACCCGCCACCGGGGAGAAAAGCGACCGGGCUGCACUGAGGAGCUGUUUGCUGGUGGUCCACACGAUGCGUCUGUUUCUGUUGGCGGUGCUCUUCUGGUGCUCCUGCGCGCGGGCCGGCUGCGAGCCGAAGAUCGUGAACAUCGGGGCCGUGCUGAGCCAGAAGAGAUACGAGCAGGUCUUCAAAGAUGCCGUGACCCAGGCCAACCAGGUUUAUGGAAGAGAUAAAUUCAAGCUGACCGCCAUCUCCGUCACGCACAAGCCCAACGCCAUCCAGAUGGCUCUGUCCGUGUGCGAGGACCUCAUCUCCAGUCAGGUCUACGCUAUCCUGGUGAGUCACCCUCCCCAGUCCAAUGACCACCUCACUCCAACGCCUGUCUCAUACACUGCGGGCUUCUACCGCAUCCCCGUGGUGGGGCUCACCACCCGCAUGUCCAUCUACUCCGACAAGAGUAUCCACCUGUCCUUUCUGCGGACAGUCCCUCCCUACUCCCACCAGGCGCACGUGUGGUUCGACCUGAUGCGUGAGUUCAACUGGAACCACAUCAUCCUGAUAGUGAGCGACGACCACGAGGGGCGCGCUGCUCAAAAGAGGCUGGAGACCCUGCUGGAGGAGAGAGAAACAAAGAAUAAAAAAAGGAACUAUGAAAACCUCGACCAACUGUCCUAUGACAACAAGCGAGGACCUAAGGCAGAGAAAGUCCUCCAGUUCAGCCAGGAGACUAACUUAACUGCCCUGCUGCUGGAGGCCAAAGAGCUGGAGGCCCGAGUCAUCAUCCUGUCCGCCAGUGAGGAGGACGCUGCUGCAGUGUACAAGGCUGCCCGCUUCCUCAACAUGACGGGCUCGGGGUACGUGUGGCUGGUGGGCGAGCGGGAGAUGUCGGGUAAAGCCCUGAGCGAGGCGCCAGACGGUCUGAUCGGCCUCCAGCUCAUCAACGGGAAGAAUGAGUCGGCGCAUAUCAAUGAUGCGGUGGCUGUGGUGGCGCAGUCCAUCCAGGAGCUCUUUGAGAAGGAGAAUAUCACAGAACCCCCGAGAGGAUGUGUGGGCAACACCAACAUCUGGAAAACAGGGCCGCUCUUUAAACGGGUGCUGAUGUCCUCCAAAUACCCCGAGGGCCUCACAGGUCGCGUGGAGUUCAAUGACGACGGGGACAGGAAGUACGCCCAUUACAGUAUCCUCAACUACCAGAAGAGUCGCCUCAUUCAAGUCGGCAUUUACAAUGGGACACAGGUGGUAAUGAACAAUCAGCGGAAGAUCAUCUGGCCCGGGGGAGAGACAGAGAAACCACAGGGCUUCCAGAUGUCCACUCGACUAAAGAUAGUGACGAUUCACCAGGAGCCAUUUGUGUAUGUGAAGCCGACUCAACCGGAUGGAACAUGCCACGAGGAAAUGACAUUAAAUGGAGUCUUAAUAAAAAAGGUUAUCUGCACUGGGCCCAAUGAGACCAUCCCAGGUAACCUAUCAGGACGCCCAAUUGUACCCCAAUGUUGUUACGGAUUCUGUAUUGAUCUCCUUAUCAAGUUGGCUAUGACCAUGAACUUCACCUAUGAGGUACACCUGGUGGCUGAUGGGAAAUUUGGAACGCAGGAGCGGGUGAACAACAGUAACAAGAAAGAGUGGAAUGGCAUGAUGGGAGAGCUCCUGGGGGGCCUGGCUGACAUGAUUGUAGCCCCGCUGACUAUUAACAACGAACGCGCCCAGUACAUCGAAUUCUCCAAGCCCUUUAAAUAUCAAGGUCUCACGAUCCUUGUUAAAAAGGAAAUACCUCGCAGUACACUGGACUCGUUCAUGCAGCCGUUCCAAAGCACGCUGUGGCUACUGGUGGGUCUUUCGGUGCAUGUGGUGGCGGUGAUGCUUUACCUACUAGACCGGUUCAGCCCGUUUGGAAGAUUUAAAGUAAACAGUGAAGAAGAAGAAGAAGAUGCCCUCACCUUAUCAUCGGCUAUGUGGUUCUCCUGGGGAGUGUUGCUGAAUUCUGGUAUUGGAGAAGGUGCACCGCGCAGCUUCUCAGCGAGAAUCCUAGGUAUGGUGUGGGCCGGAUUUGCCAUGAUAAUUGUGGCAUCCUAUACUGCCAACCUGGCUGCCUUCCUGGUGUUGGACCGGCCUGAGGAGCGCAUCACCGGCAUCAAUGACCCAAGGCUGAGAAACCCAUCGGACAAGUUCAUCUACGCCACGGUGAAGCAAAGCUCCGUGGACAUCUACUUCCGGCGGCAGGUGGAGCUUAGCACCAUGUACCGCCACAUGGAGAAGCACAACUAUGAGAGUGCCGCCGAGGCUAUCCAGGCUGUUCGUGACAACAAGCUGCAUGCUUUCAUCUGGGACUCUGCGGUGCUGGAGUUUGAAGCUUCGCAGAAGUGCGACCUGGUGACCACGGGAGAGCUGUUUUUCCGUUCGGGCUUUGGCAUAGGCAUGCGCAAGGACAGCCCCUGGAAACAGAAUGUGUCCCUGGCCAUUCUCAGUUCUCAUGAGAACGGCUUCAUGGAAGACCUAGAUAAAACCUGGGUGAGAUACCAGGAGUGUGACUCAAGGAGCAAUGCCCCAGCCACACUCACCUUUGAAAACAUGGCAGGGGUAUUCAUGCUGGUGGCCGGUGGGAUUGCAGCAGGUAUCUUCCUAAUCUUCAUUGAAAUCGCCUAUAAGCGCCAUAAAGACGCCCGCAGGAAGCAGAUGCAGCUGGCCUUUGCGGCGGUCAAUGUUUGGAGGAAGAACCUGCAGCCCUCUUCCUCUCUAGAGACUCAGGAUUCUUUCUCAUAAGGACCCUCUCUCUAUUUAGACCACAUACAAUAAGGUCAUUGAGUGGGGGGGUAGUAGUGGUGGUUGUGGGAGAAAACAGAAUGGGUGAAACCACGGUUGUCACCCUGGCCAGAGGACAUGAAUAAUGUUUCUACAUAUAUUCAUUUUAGGAUAGGAAAAGUGGUAGAGCAGAGCCCGACCCCAAAAAGAAAGCCUCUUUUAGGUCCAUCAGUACCAACCUGGCCUCCAGCAUCAAGAGACGUAGGUCCUCCAAAGACACGCAGUACCCACCUACUGACAUCACGGGCCAGCUCAACUUGUCUGACCCGUCUGUCAGCACCGUGGUGUAAAGAGAGGGGAGAUGUCGAGGUCCGCUCCCCGAGGAGAGAGGAAACGAGACGAGGGAGAAAAAGGAGAGGAAGAAGUGGACGAGGAGAGGGAGAAGGGAGAAGCCAUCUCCUCGUUCCCUUCGCCGCUCAAGUCUGGGCUUUCAUUUCAUCGCAGGCCGACGGAAGCUUUGGAGGAAGCUUGCUUGCUGAAGAAGUGUCUGAAAAACACUGAACUUGCACCUUUUUUGAAAGUCAGGAUUACCUGGCGUUAGAUAUUUGUAGGGUCCCUGAGCAUGCAGAGAAGAACCCAUCUGACUCACAUAUACAAUCUUUUCCUUAUGUAUAUUAUUAGCAAACUUAUUUAACCUUGUUUUUUGUCAUUUUGCUCACUCACAGAGAUUUACUUAAUGUUUGAUGUUCAAAGUUCCUGACCCGCUGUAUAGGUCUAGCAAGCCAGGUUUAGUUUAGUUAAGUUUAAGGAUGAAGUACUUUACUGUACUUUACAUAUCCCUUUAAUUAGGGCUUAGAUUCCAUAGUGACAGGUUUUCCUAACAGCAUAUACCGCAAUACAAAACGUACUGUACGCUUCAAUGGAUAUCAGUUAUUUUUUAAUGCAAACUACCUAUGUUUUUAUCUACACCUUAAAGGUUUUUAGAAGAUGUUGCUUUCUUUGAGAAGCACUAUUAUUGGCACUAAUGAGAAGGAACUUGUCUACGAGUGAAGAUGAAGGAAGCAUGUGAGCGCUUGUAUAUGAAUAAGAGCUUUAUGUAUCUGAAGGAUGAAAUUGUUAUUUUGAAGGCUAUAUACCAGAUUCUGUAGUUGUUUUCCCCUUUAAUCAUGUCCUAAUCAACCGAAUGCAUGUUUUUGUGUUCUUCUAAGAACUCAAAGACAUCCUGUCAAGCUUAACUGUCAUUCAAAGCAAGGUACAAGCUGAAUACUCCCUGAGUAAUUUGUGAUCUGAUCAAACAGUUAAUUAAGACUGGUGUUCUUACGUUCUGAAACAUGUUCUCAUUCGUGAGCCAUGUUGCUUUUGGGGGCGCCCUCUCUCUUCCUCUCUCCUGCCGCAGCAGUCUUUCUCAUUUCUAGUCUCUAAGGGGUUGCAUCAAAGGGCCAAGUUUUUUACUUAACCCUCACUCGGUCUUUCAUGCGAAACCUCGUCCUGGCGUAACGCCGGACAGUUUUCCACGAAUGGAACCCGAGUGAAUUCAAAGCAAGGUCUUGGUUAGGCGUAAAAACAGGCCGUUUCCCAUUUUCUGGAGCUGAGAAACCACUGCUGUUUGUUGAAUCACCUCGUGUCUACUCUCUGGCACUGCAUAGCACUUUAUGCUGAGGCGUCUCCCAAACUCUCAAAUAACGACAUCGAUUUGCCAAGAAACUACAACAGAGUAACACCAGUCAGACAUAUUAACUUCUCCACUGUAAUUUCUCAAAUCCCUUUUUCAUUUCACUACAGAUACCUUUCUUACAGAGCCUUUAGAAGAUUAAUAAUGACCUUGGAAACAACUACAAAACAGAAUUAGGUUUUUCUAACUCGAACCUGGAGUUUGCUUUCUGAUCACGUUCUCAUUCCGGCCUUUGCAUGCUUACGUGUUACAAUCAGUGUUUGUUUUUGGAUGCGUGUUGUUGCCGUGUACAGUCAGCCGAGCUGUGUCAAGCACUUCCUGUAAAUAGAUUUGGUGUAGAUAGGUUUGAGGAGAUUGUACUGCUUGUAUUACGACUGCAGCUGAGAAUGUCUAGUAACACACGCCAACAACAGUUGUGAUUCACUGGCAUGAAACAUACACACACAAACACAUACACACAAACACACACACAUACAUUGUCACACACACACACCAUCACUUGUUUUUCUUACCUUUUCAAGUAAUGAUCUUGCAUUGAAUCAUCUUGUUUAUACAACUGUAAAUAAAAUAUACUUGCAUUGCCAAGUCUACCCAA